Molecule: ribosomal RNA, 373 nt
Filed under: uncultured eukaryote
Lineage: Eukaryota
Description: SSU rRNA
Rfam family: Eukaryotic small subunit ribosomal RNA
Source: RNAcentral
AGCUCCAAUAGCGUAUAUUAAAGUUGUUGCGGUUAAAAAGCUCGUAGUUGGAUUUCUGCUGAGGACGAUCGGUCCGCCCUCUGGGUGAGCAUCUGUCUCGGCCUCGGCAUCUUCUUGGAUAAUGUAACUGCACUUGACUGUGUGGUGCGCUAAUCAAGACUUUUACUUUGAGGAAAUUAGAGUGUUUCAAGCAGGCGUAUGCCUUGAAUACAUUAGCAUGGAAUAAUGAGAUAGGACCUUAAUUCUAUUUUGUUGGUUUCUAGAGCUGAGGUAAUGAUUAAUAGGGAUAGUUGGGGGGCAUUCGUAUUUAACUGUCAGAGGUGAAAUUCUUGGAUUUGUUAAAGACGGACUAACUGCGAAAGCAUCUGCCAUG